UACAGAGGUCUCAAGCGUUGUUCGGAGUUACUGGGCGUAAAGAGUACGUAGGCGGUUUGCCGAGUUUGGUGUGAAAUCUCCUGGCUUAACUGGGAGGGUGCGCCGAAUACUGGCGGGCUUGAGUAUUGGAGAGGAAAGCGGAAUUCCUGGUGUAGCGGUGAAAUGCGUAGAUAUCAGGAGGAACACCGGUGGUGUAGACGGCUUUCUGGACAAUCACUGACGCUGAGGUACGAAAGCGUGGGUAGCAAACAGG
This 253-nucleotide ribosomal RNA is filed under the name uncultured bacterium. Its description in RNAcentral is "partial 16S ribosomal RNA". It matches the Rfam family "Bacterial small subunit ribosomal RNA", at positions 524 to 776 of the family's 1533-position model. The record is from RNAcentral.